GUGGGGAAUUUUGGACAAUGGGCGAAAGCCUGAUCCAGCCAUGCCGCGUGUAGGAUGAAGGCCUUCGGGUUGUAAACUGCUUUUGUACGGAACGAAAAGACUCCUUCUAAUAAAGGGGGUCCAUGACGGUACCGUAAGAAUAAGCACCGGCUAACUACGUGCCAGCAGCCGCGGUAAUACGUAGGGUGCAAGCGUUAAUCGGAAUUACUGGGCGUAAAGCGUGCGCAGGCGGUUAUAUAAGACAGAUGUGAAAUCCCCGGGCUCAACCUGGGAACUGCAUUUGUGACUGUAUAGCUAGAGUACGGUAGAGGGGGAUGGAAUUCCGCGUGUAGCAGUGAAAUGCGUAGAUAUGCGGAGGAACACCGAUGGCGAAGGCAAUCCCCUGGACCUGUACUGACGCUCAUGCACGAAAGCGUGGGGAGCAAACAGGAUUAGAUACCCUUGUAGUCC
RNAcentral lists this ribosomal RNA (450 nucleotides) under uncultured bacterium. Its description in RNAcentral is "partial 16S ribosomal RNA". It matches the Rfam family "Bacterial small subunit ribosomal RNA", at positions 354 to 796 of the family's 1533-position model. The record is from RNAcentral.